Molecule: small nuclear RNA, 161 nt
Filed under: Musa acuminata subsp. malaccensis (wild Malaysian banana)
Lineage: Eukaryota; Viridiplantae; Streptophyta; Magnoliopsida; Zingiberales; Musaceae
Description: U2 spliceosomal RNA
Rfam family: U2 spliceosomal RNA
About the family: U2 is a small nuclear RNA (snRNA) component of the spliceosome (involved in pre-mRNA splicing). Complementary binding between U2 snRNA (in an area lying towards the 5' end but 3' to hairpin I) and the branchpoint sequence (BPS) of the intron results the bulging out of an unpaired adenosine, on the BPS, which initiates a nucleophilic attack at the intronic 5' splice site, thus starting the first of two transesterification reactions that mediate splicing.
Source: Rfam by way of RNAcentral
AUACCUUUCUCGGCCUUUUGGCUAAGAUCAAGUGUAGUAUCUGUUUUUAUCAGUUUAAUAUAUGAUACGUGGGUCAUCGACUUAUUAUGAUAUUAAAUUAAUUUCUUGUGGGGGAGGGUUCAUCGUGCGUUGCACUACUGCACGGGCCUGGCGUGCCUCAA